RNAcentral lists this small RNA (76 nucleotides) under Sinorhizobium meliloti 2011. Its description in RNAcentral is "putative ncRNA". The record is from RNAcentral. Lineage: Bacteria; Pseudomonadati; Pseudomonadota; Alphaproteobacteria; Hyphomicrobiales; Rhizobiaceae.
UUCCCCAAUGCGCUGUAGUUGGUGGAGCCUCAGAGCUGCGGAGAAGGGACAAUCUUUACAGCUCUGAGGCCAUCAC